AUUGAACGCUGGCGGCAGGCUUAACACAUGCAAGUCGAGCGGAGAGAGGUAGCUUGCUACUGAUCUUAGCGGCGGACGGGUGAGUAAUGCUUAGGAAUCUGCCUAUUAGUGGGGGACAACAUUUCGAAAGGAAUGCUAAUACCGCAUACGUCCUACGGGAGAAAGCAGGGGAUCUUCGGACCUUGCGCUAAUAGAUGAGCCUAAGUCGGAUUAGCUAGUUGGUGGGGUAAAGGCCUACCAAGGCGACGAUCUGUAGCGGGUCUGAGAGGAUGAUCCGCCACACUGGGAAGGAGGCACGGCCCAGCAUCCUAAGGGAGGCAGCAGUGGGGAAUAUUGGACAAUGGGCGCAAGCCUGAUCCAGCCAUGCCGCGUGUGUGAAGAAGGCCUUAUGGUUGUAAAGCACUUUAAGCGAGGAGGAGGCUACUUUAGUUAAUACCUAGAGAUAGUGGACGUUACUCGCAGAAUAAGCACCGGCUAACUCUGUGCCAGCAGCCGCCGUAA
Molecule: ribosomal RNA, 501 nt
Filed under: uncultured bacterium
Lineage: Bacteria
Description: partial 16S ribosomal RNA
Rfam family: Bacterial small subunit ribosomal RNA
Source: RNAcentral